Molecule: transfer RNA, 71 nt
Filed under: Polydactylus plebeius (striped threadfin)
Lineage: Eukaryota; Metazoa; Chordata; Actinopteri; Polynemidae
Description: tRNA-Gln
Rfam family: tRNA
About the family: Transfer RNA (tRNA) molecules are approximately 80 nucleotides in length. Their secondary structure includes four short double-helical elements and three loops (D, anti-codon, and T loops).
Source: RNAcentral
UAGGAAGUGGUGUAGUGGGAGCACUAAGAGUUUUGAUCUCUUCAGUAAGGGUUCGAAUCCCUUUUUUCUAU